This 874-nucleotide long non-coding RNA is filed under the name Mus musculus (house mouse). RNAcentral's name for it is "long non-coding RNA chr2:30483760-30484634". The record is from RNAcentral. Lineage: Eukaryota; Metazoa; Chordata; Mammalia; Rodentia; Muridae.
ACCUUUAAGACAAGUUCUGUUCUAGGCUGCUAAGGCGUCCAUUCAGAAGAGGGAUGGGGGCAGAUCUUUGCUGAGCUAUGACUAACACCAGGCAGGGCACCCAUGCUCACUCUCACACCAAGCAUUAAUGUGGUCCUUCAUACCCAUUUUACAGAGGGGGAGACAACAUUUCAAUAAUUCCCUCAUGGGAGGGGUUUGCAUUCCAGCCCAGGAAUUGGAUUCCCCCAUACCCUACAAUAGCAUGCACCCCCGCCCCUCCCCCCACAUAUGUGGUCAUUGGCUCAUUUUCCAGAUGAGACGGAAGUGUAUGAGGCACCCGCCCUGUUCUGUUAGAUUGACAGUGUCAGAACCUGCAAGGCUAGGGUUGGAACCAGAUGCCAAGGACCCACUCUCUGGCCUCCCACAGAUGGGCUGGUGUGGAGGGCCUGUUGCAAGCCCAGCCUCCUUGGGUUCGGGAUGAAUGCACACCCCUGUGAAGCUUUGGCCAGAUAGGUUCUGGUGCCCACAGAGCUAAUCAACCAGGAAGGUGCUCUAACUCACUGCAGCAGAGCUGCAUGCAAUACCAGUACAUGUGGAGGAGUGGGGGUGGCUAGGAAGGAGACAUGAUCCUCGCUGUAAACAUUUUGGUGCCCGAGUAGAUGGAUUGUCCAGUAAAGUGUUUGCUGCACAAGCAUCAGGACCCUGGAGGGCAGGAGUGGUGCGCAUGCGUGACCCCAGUGCAGAAAGGUGGAUUCCCUAGGGCUCUCAGCCGGUUAGGACUGAUGAGUCCAGAUCCAAGGAGACUCUGCUUUGAUCUAUAAGGUGGACAACCAGGGAGAAAGGUUCCCUACACUGACUUGUGCCGCCAGCACUCAUGUGCACUUAGACACACACA